UGGGUGUGUGUGUGUGUGUGUGUGUGUGUGUGUGUGUGUGUGUGUGUGUGUGUCAUUACGUAGGCCAGUGGGUGUGUGUGUGUGUCAUUACGUAGGCCAGUGGGUGUGUGUGUGUGUGUGUGUCAUUACGUAGGCCAGUGGGUUGUGUGAGAUGAGUGGGCCAGUGGUCCUCGUGGAAGAAAAACACAAUUAUUUCAGCCUCUGGCUAUUCACGCAAAGGUGACAAAAGCUGGUAUGAAGUAUGAAAUCCCCAAAGUUUUCCUCGUUCGACAAAUUGGAAUUAAUUUGAGCUUCUGGUGUGUUUUUUAAAAGUUAGAACCGCACCUCUCUGUGUGUGUGUGUGUGUGUGUGUGUGUGUGUGUGUGUGUGUGUGUGUGUGUGUGUGUGUGUGUGUGUGUGUGUGUGUGUGUGUGUGUGUGUGUGUGUGUGUGUGUGUGUGUGUCACUCUGGCCAAAACCGUUCCAACAUAAGCCCAAUGCGUUUCUAUUGGCUUAUAUUGGACCUUAGCUUGUCGCCUGCCUUCCUGCCUUUGGGACAACGACUCCCAUUGUUCGAGCAGAGACAUGAGCAUCUCGUCAUUACAUAUAGAUCUCUGGCGAAGAGCGUGAGCCAGGGUGAGGGAGAGAGAGAGGAGGAAGGCAGGCCAGCGUGUGGGAGAGAGAGGAGGAGAAGGAAGGCAGACCAGCGUGUGAGAGAGAGAGAGGAGGAGGAAGGCAGGCCAGCGUGUGGGAGAGAGAGGAGGAGGAGAAGGAAGGCAGGCCAGCGUGUGGGAGAGAGAGGAGGAGGAGAAGGAAGGCAGGCCAGCGUGUGGGAGAGAGAGGAGGAGGAGAAGGAAGGCAGGCCAGCGUGUGGGAGAGAGAGGAGGAGGAGGAGAAGGAAGGCAGGCCAGCGUGUGGGAGAGAGAGGAGGAGGAGAAGGAAGGCAGACCAGCGUGUGAGAGAGAGAGAGAGGAGGAGGAAGGCAGGCCAGCGUGUGGGAGAGAGAGAGGAGGAGGAAGGCAGGCCAGCGUGUGGGAGAGAGAGAGGAGGAGGAGGAAGGCAGGCCAGCGUGUGAGAGAGAGAGAGGAGGAGGAAGGCAGGCCAGCGUGUGGGAGAGAGAGAGGAGGAGGAGGAAGGCAGGCCAGCGUGUGAGAGAGAGAGAGGAGGAGGAAGGCAGGCCAGCGUGUGGGAGAGAGAGAGGAGGAGGAGGAAGGCAGGCCAGCGUGUGAGAGAGAGAGAGGAGGAGGAAGGCAGGCCAGCGUGUGGGAGAGAGAGAGGAGGAGGAGGAAGGAAGACCAGGGUGAGAGAGAGGAGGCGGCAGGCAGGCCAGUGUGAGGGAGAGAGAGGAGGAGGCCAACGUGAGAGAGGAGGCAGGCAGGCCAGUGUGAGGGAGAGGAGACAAACAGG
This 1385-nucleotide long non-coding RNA is filed under the name Salmo salar (Atlantic salmon). RNAcentral describes it as "lncRNA (ENSSSAG00000103654.1)". Lineage: Eukaryota; Metazoa; Chordata; Actinopteri; Salmoniformes; Salmonidae. The record is from RNAcentral.